This 434-nucleotide ribosomal RNA is filed under the name uncultured Lachnospiraceae bacterium. Its description in RNAcentral is "partial 16S ribosomal RNA". It matches the Rfam family "Bacterial small subunit ribosomal RNA", at positions 341 to 792 of the family's 1533-position model. The record is from RNAcentral. Lineage: Bacteria; Bacillati; Bacillota; Clostridia; Lachnospirales; Lachnospiraceae.
ACGGGAGGCAGCAGUGGGGAAUCUUGGACAAUGGGGGAAACCCUGAUCCAGCGACGCCGCGUGAGUGAAGAAGUAUUUCGGUAUGUAAAGCUCUAUCAGCAGGGAAGAAAAUGACGGUACCUGACUAAGAAGCCCCGGCUAACUACGUGCCAGCAGCCGCGGUACUACGUAGGGGGCAAGCGUUAUCCGGAUUUACUGGGUGUAAAGGGAGCGUAGACGGCAAGGCAAGUCUGAAGUGAAAGCUCGGGGCUCAACCCCGGAACUGCUUUGGAAACUGUCAUGCUAGGGUGCAGGAGAGGUAAGUGGAAUUCCUAGUGUAGCGGUGAAAUGCGUAGAUAUUAGGAGGAACACCAGUGGCGAAGGCGGCUUACUGGACUGUAACUGACGUUGAGGCUCGAAAGCGUGGGGAGCAAACAGGAUUAGAUACCCUGGUA